UACAGAGGUCCCAAGCGUUGUUCGGAUUCAUUGGGCGUAAAGGGUGCGUAGGCGGCGCGGUAAGUCGGGUGUGAAAUCUCGGGGCUUAACUCCGAAACUGCAUUCGAUACUGCCGUGCUUGAGGACUGGAGAGGAGACCGGAAUUUACGGUGUAGCGGUGAAAUGCGUAGAUAUCGUAAGGAAGACCAGUGGCGAAGGCGGGUCUCUGGACAGUUCCUGACGCUGAGGCACGAAGGCCAGGGGAGCAAACGGG
Molecule: ribosomal RNA, 253 nt
Filed under: uncultured bacterium
Lineage: Bacteria
Description: partial 16S ribosomal RNA
Rfam family: Bacterial small subunit ribosomal RNA
Source: RNAcentral